Molecule: long non-coding RNA, 417 nt
Filed under: Coturnix japonica (Japanese quail)
Lineage: Eukaryota; Metazoa; Chordata; Aves; Galliformes; Phasianidae
Description: lncRNA (ENSCJPG00005000641.1)
Source: RNAcentral
AUGAAUCAUGCACGAGAUAAAAUUAGCAGUUUGAGAUAUUAUUAUUCUAGAUGCAGAACCUUCAGCAGAAUGGAUUCAGACUUUUCAUGCUUGGGCCCCAGGAUGCUGCAUCUCGGAGGGACUUGGAGACCUCCCUCGGGAUUCAGGGCCUCAAGAACAGAACCAUCCAUGUUAUUUCCUGGUGUCUCCAGGCUGGUACGACCCAUCACUUAUGCAUCACCCACUGUUUUGAUUAAGCUUUCCUUCAAAGAUAACCCAAAUAUCUUAGGGUGUAAAACCAUGUCAUAUCUGAUAACUUCAUCUCUUCCCUGCAACCCUUGGAGAACAUUGAACCACUUCAGAGACAACAAAAUGACCUCUGAAUGGACUCAAUCUUGUUUACAUUGUGUUUACAGUGCGUAAUUGUAAGAAAGAUCU